This is a long non-coding RNA of Cucurbita maxima (winter squash), 205 nucleotides long. RefSeq lists it as uncharacterized. The record is from RefSeq and is a predicted model, not a curated record. The transcript is spliced from 2 exons. Lineage: Eukaryota; Viridiplantae; Streptophyta; Magnoliopsida; Cucurbitales; Cucurbitaceae.
CUCUUUCGGUAACCGUAGGGCUUCAUUGAAAUCCGUCCGUCUCUACGGAUAAGACUCCGAAAUUUCUCACUGUUUUUCCCAAAUUCCAACUCGGUCAAUCCAGAAUUCCCCUUUCUCUCGUUGAUCUGAUAACUGGAUCAGAUUUGUUCAUGACUUGGCGAGGUCAAUUUUAGCGAAUUCGAAGAACAAAGAACGAAAACGUUCG